Molecule: ribosomal RNA, 270 nt
Filed under: uncultured bacterium
Lineage: Bacteria
Description: partial 16S ribosomal RNA
Rfam family: Bacterial small subunit ribosomal RNA
Source: RNAcentral
UACGAAGGGGGCUAGCGUUGCUCGGAAUUACUGGGCGUAAAGGGAGCGUAGGCGGACAGUUUAGUCAGAGGUGAAAGCCCAGGGCUCAACCUUGGAAUUGCCUUUGAUACUGAUUGUCUUGAGUUUGGGAGAGGUGUGUGGAACUCCGAGUGUAGAGGUGAAAUUCGUAGAUAUUCGGAAGAACACCAGUGGCGAAGGCGACACACUGGCCCAAUACUGACGCUGAGGCUCGAAAGCGUGGGAGCAAACAGGAUUAGAUACCCGAGUAGU